This 301-nucleotide ribosomal RNA is filed under the name uncultured bacterium. Its description in RNAcentral is "partial 16S ribosomal RNA". It matches the Rfam family "Bacterial small subunit ribosomal RNA", at positions 509 to 807 of the family's 1533-position model. The record is from RNAcentral.
CAGUCGCCGCGGUAAUACGAACCGUGCGAACGUUAUUCGGAAUUACUGGGCUUAAAGCGCGUGUAGGCGGGCCGCCACGUCGGUUGCUGAAAUCCCCCGGCUCAACCGGGGAAGUGGCAUCGAUACGAGCGGCCUUGAGGGGGGUAGGGGGAUCUGGAACUUCCGGUGGAGCGGUGAAAUGCGUUGAGAUCGGAAGGAACGCCCGUGGCGAAAGCAAGGUCCUGGACCCUUUCUGACGCUGAGACGCGAAAGCCAGGGGAGCGAACGGGAUUAGAUACCCCCGUAGUCCCUGUCUCUUAUU